AUUCAGUUGACGAGUCCCAGACAAGGCGAAAUACGCGUCCUGCAU
Molecule: non-coding RNA, 45 nt
Filed under: Trichobilharzia regenti
Lineage: Eukaryota; Metazoa; Platyhelminthes; Trematoda; Strigeidida; Schistosomatidae
Source: RNAcentral